This 412-nucleotide RNase P RNA is filed under the name Rhodococcus sp. (in: high G+C Gram-positive bacteria). Its description in RNAcentral is "RNase P RNA component class A". It matches the Rfam family "Bacterial RNase P class A". Rfam says of the family: Ribonuclease P (RNase P) is a ubiquitous endoribonuclease, found in archaea, bacteria and eukarya as well as chloroplasts and mitochondria. The record is from RNAcentral. RNAcentral also lists the same sequence under 4 other names. Lineage: Bacteria; Bacillati; Actinomycetota; Actinomycetes; Mycobacteriales; Nocardiaceae.
CGAGUUGGCCGGGCGACCGCGGAACAGGGAACCGGCACCGGACGGUGUCAGGCCCUGCGUCGAGGAAAGUCCGGACUCCACAGAGCAGGGCGGUUGUUAACGGCAACCCGAGGUGACUCGCGGGACAGUGCCACAGAAAACAGACCGCCUGCCCCUCGCGGGCAGGUAAGGGUGAAACGGUGCGGUAAGAGCGCACCAGCACCCCGGGUGACCGGGGUGGCUAGGUAAACCCCGCCCGGAGCAAGGUUGAAGGUCGCAUCGCUGCGCGGUGCGUCUGCGCAGGUGCUCGAGGGCUGCUCGCCCGAGCCUGCGGGUGAACCGCUCGAGGUACCCGGCAACGGUGUGCCCAGAUGGAUGGUCGCCACCCCGCUUCGGCGGGGGACAGGAUCCGGCUUACAGGCCGACUCGUCCG